RNAcentral lists this ribosomal RNA (1116 nucleotides) under Triticum aestivum (bread wheat). RNAcentral's name for it is "partial small subunit ribosomal RNA". Lineage: Eukaryota; Viridiplantae; Streptophyta; Magnoliopsida; Poales; Poaceae. The record is from RNAcentral.
AUGGGUGGCGGCGGUGGCUGUGGAUGUGGAGACGGGGACGGCGACGGCAACUUGGUGCUGCCCUGCCAGUCCCCUCCGCUCGCCGAGGUCACCCUCGCCCUCGUCGGUAAGAUCGGCACCGGCAAGAGCGCCACCGCCAACUGCAUCCUCGGGACCCACGCCUUUGCGUCGGAGUUAGCCUACGUAAGCGUCACCGAGACCUGCCAGAAGAGCAGCGCCACCUUCCACGACGGCUAUGGCGCCACCCGCACCGUCAACGUCAUUGACACCCCAGGCUUAUUUGACAUGGAGAUUUCGAUCGAGGAUGCCCGUAAAGAGAUUGUAAAGUGCAUUGACAUGAGCAAAGAUGGCAUACAUGCUAUGCUUAUUGUGUUCUCAGCCACAUCACGGUUUUCUUGUGAAGAGCAGAAUACAGUUGAGUCAAUUAAACGGUUUUUUGGUGACAAAAUCGUCAACCACAUUAUAUUAGUUUUCACACAUGGAGAUGCGGUUGGGGAUGAAGUUGCCUGGAAGAAAAUGCUAGCUGUGAGGUCCCCGGUUUAUCUCCAGGACAUGAUAAAGCUAUGCCAAAAUAGGGUUUUUCUCUUUGACAACAUGACCAGUAAUAUUGAGCGCCGUGAGAUGCAACGUCGGAAAUUGCUUGAUGCAGUUGACUUUGUUAUAUCAAGUAAUGGUGGCACAUCAUUUUCCUACAAGAUGCUCCCUCACAUUCAGGAAGCAAAUGAUGGACAAAGUGAGAAUAGUACCGGUGGAUAUUCUGCAGAAAGGAUAUAUGAACAAUUGACACAGAUAACCAAGAAGGUUGAUGAAAACCUGAACAGUACAGAAGAGGAGAUCCAGAGGCUCAAGGAGAGGCUGGAGAAAUCUCAGAAAGAGCAUGAUAAUGUCAAACAAGAAAUGACAAAUGCAGAGAACCUGAGAAGGCUAGAGGAGCAGAAGAUGAAGGAGCAGAAAGUGGAGAUCAACAAUCUGAGAGAGGAACUUGAGAAGGCAAGGCAGGUAGAGAUGGAGCGCAAGGAGAAGGAGAUCCAGAGGCUCAUGGAGAGCCUGGACCUGGCAAACAAGGAGAAGGACAACUACAGAACGAUGUACGAGAACAAGUGCAUUGUUAUGUGA